UGGCUUCGACAGUAAAGAACCUGCCUGCAAAGCAGGAGACCCAGGUUCGAUCCCUGG
Molecule: transfer RNA, 57 nt
Filed under: Bos taurus (domestic cattle)
Lineage: Eukaryota; Metazoa; Chordata; Mammalia; Artiodactyla; Bovidae
Also listed under: 1 other name
Rfam family: tRNA
About the family: Transfer RNA (tRNA) molecules are approximately 80 nucleotides in length. Their secondary structure includes four short double-helical elements and three loops (D, anti-codon, and T loops). Further hydrogen bonds mediate the characteristic L-shaped molecular structure. tRNAs have two regions of fundamental functional importance: the anti-codon, which is responsible for specific mRNA codon recognition, and the 3' end, to which the tRNAs corresponding amino acid is attached (by aminoacyl-tRNA synthetases). tRNAs cope with the degeneracy of the genetic code in two manners: having more than one tRNA (with a specific anti-codon) for a particular amino acid; and 'wobble' base-pairing, i.e. permitting non-standard base-pairing at the 3rd anti-codon position.
Source: Rfam by way of RNAcentral